AAUGGGCGGAAGCCUGAACCAGCCAUGCCGCGUGCAGGAUGACGGCCCUACGGGUUGUAAACUGCUUCUCCCCGGGAAGAAUAAGCCCCUCGUGAGGGGUGAUGCCGGUACCGGGGGAAUAAGGAUCGGCUAACUCCGUGCCAGCAGCCGCGGUAAUACGAAGGAUCCGAGCGUUAUCCGGAUUUACUGGGUUUAAAGGGUGCGUAGGUGGUUUGAUAAGUGAGCGGUGAAAGUUUGCAGCUUAACUGUAAAAAUGCCGUUGAAACUGUCGGACUUGAGUGUAAAUGAGGUAGGCGGAAUGCGUGGUGUAGCGGUGAAAUGCAUAGAUAUCACGCAGAACUCCGAUUGCGAAGGCAGCUUACUAAGCUACAACUGACACUGAAGCACGAAAGCGUGGGGAUCAAA
Molecule: ribosomal RNA, 405 nt
Filed under: uncultured bacterium
Lineage: Bacteria
Description: bacterial SSU rRNA
Rfam family: Bacterial small subunit ribosomal RNA
Source: RNAcentral